UCUCUGGUUCUUCUUCUUCUUAUCAUCACCAUCAUCAUCACCAACACUAUUAUUAUUGUUAUUAUUAUUUCUCAUUACGCAUGUUACUUAAAGCGUAUUGGGAGGAGUACCAAUUGGGAUAAUUGUUCAAUGUGCCUCUGCUUAUAUGUAUCUAAUUCACCUGCAUCUAGUUCUGUUAGGCCAGGUUCAGAUAUCAGCCUUGGAUUUACUAGCUGUGCAGAGCUUUACUGCAUAAAUCUUCUCUCGUGGACUGAUGAGACUGCUCAUGAUCAUUUGAAAUAGAUGACAAUAAUGGUGCAAGUAAAAUUGGUGACAAUUCCUUUAAUAAAAUAAUCUGCAAUUGCCUUUGUUCUGAACAUAUACACUACCCAGAUGGGAGGAGCCGAGAAAAUGCUAUUUAACUACCCAAGCAAUGCGUAGUCACCAUGCUAAAUGUCACUCAAAUGAAGAUUUUAUCUACAGAGAUGUGGUAUAGGAUUGAUAGCAAAGCAUCUGUAAUCACAUUUGCAGAACACUCAAUGAGAACUUUUGGGUUAAGCAGACUUCUCCCGUUGGGAAAGGAUUUGGGAUGGAGUGCUAUAAGGAGAACAGACUUCUUACUUUUUGUAGUCCUUGAAAUCUGGUUUAAACCUUUACUACAGUGGUGGAUGCGCUUGUGUUGAUCAAGAUUGUAAAUGCUUUAUCUUGUAUAUGAGUGCUGUUUUGGUUCGUUUUCUCCUUUAGUUAUGAGGAUGACCCCUUGGUCGUGCGGUAUCAUGUAUCUUUCUUUACCCAUCAGGAAAUUACUGCAGGGAAGAGUUUUCUUCACCGCUUUGGUCCAAUCAAGAUGUCGAAGGUCCAAAUGGAGAUUGCAAUGUACUUCCCACUUUCUUGUUCUUGCAUUUUCGUUUCUCAUGCUGGAAACUGCAUCUGGAAGAACAUACUGUCAUCUUGCUAUGGUCAUUGCUGGUUGAAUGGGGUAUUAUCCAUCUAGAUAAAUUCCUCUUCACAAAUCAGAAUUUCUGAGCCUAAAUUGCCAUUUUUUCCUCCAAAGUACGAUCUAACGGCUGUUUAAUGCCUUGUUAUGUUUAGUUAGGCCCAGCGUAAGGGUCUAAUGCUAUCAUGUCUCUGUACUUUUAGCAGGUGCGUGAUAUGUAAUGCAAAACUGCUAGUGGACAUAGGGUGAUAAUUGAUAACCUUUUUCAAAUUGGGCCAAUGAUAUGUACGUGUGUUUCAUGUUUGGUAGGGAAUGCGCGGGACAACUUGGCAUUGUCUUCGAAGGGAUGGAGACAGCUGAUAUAUGUACGUUUCAGAUGGUCCUAGGAGAUCUUUUGUAUUUUAACUAAGGCUCUGGAUUCACAGACUUAGCCAGCUAGGCAUGAUGUAUGACCUUAUCCCUCUUCUAAUGGGUCAAUCCCUUUAGCUGAAAUUGUGCAACAUCCACCAGAUAAGAGUUGGAACACCAGUGAAUUGCUCUAGUACCUUGCGUUUGAAGCGCCACGGGGAGUAGAUGGGGAUAUUCGUUCGAACGAAGGAUUAACUACAAGCCUCGUCAGAUCGUACUCGCAAUCCAAGGCAACGGGUUUUCACAGCUAAGACGCUUUCAUCUGAUGCACAAGGUCAAAUUGUUUAGUGGUUUAAAACGUACAUUGUCUGACCUAAAAAAAAGAUGUGUUGACAAUUGGAAUUUUGGUGGUUCGAUUAGAUCACUGAACUUCCACUAAACCCCGGACUUAGAUCUAUUUGCUGACAUUAAGGUGCCUACUACACCAAGAUCUCAUAUUUUUGUCAGUGCAUGUGGAUCCUGGCUUUGAUGUUCAAUGUGCAUGACCCAGACACUGUCAAUUAUUGGUUUCUGCUACUUAGCUGGCACUAGCUGUGGUACUGUGGCAAGCAGAGAGACCGACAUCUAUGCUAUUUUAUGCACUUACAGUAUCCUGUUUCUUCGAUAACC
Molecule: long non-coding RNA, 1933 nt
Organism: Rhodamnia argentea
Lineage: Eukaryota; Viridiplantae; Streptophyta; Magnoliopsida; Myrtales; Myrtaceae
Exons: 3
Source: RefSeq, a predicted model, not a curated record